GUGAAAUGUGCCUUUGGUGUUUUGCUCUCUCGUUCAAGUUACUGCCAGCUGGAGAAAAGGCUGUUCUAGCUGCUCACAGUCCAACUGGAAGCACAGGCUUUAGGAAUACCUUGGGAAAGCCUGCUGAAAUUUCUGCAGUCAGCAUGCCUUGAAGCAGGCAGAGUGCAGGCACGGCGGGCUGCAACAGGCGGGGAUUUCACUGCUGCUGAUGCCCAGAAGUGGAACUAACCCAAAUGAUCAUCAACUGGUGAAUGAGUAAACAAAUUGUGGGUUUUAAAAAUUUUAUUGUAUAGUAUGGAAUGCUGUUCAGAAGUAAAAGAAAGUGCCUCAGCCCUAUUGGCUGUCUGAAAAACUUCUGUGCUGAUUACAAGGGAAAUUGGAAAAAGGUUGCUCACUGCUGUGAGGGCUCAUCAUACUGUACUGUGUGAUCUGCUUCCAUAAUUUAGUCUUGAAGAAAAAUAAAAAGUAAAGGGGGAGAGUUAGAAUUGGUGGUAUAAAGAGAAGCUGAGCCGGUCCCAGCACCCAGAUGGAAGUUCCCCCAUCGCCAUCCCAAGCUCCUAAGGCAGAGGAGGUGAGUCACGUGGGUGCCAGAAGCACUCCCCCCACCCCAUGGAAAUGAGAAGACAUGUAAACAAGCCUCAAAAACAGACUUCUGGAUCACCUACAGCAACCCCAAAGGGAAACGAGAUGGAACAAUCUGAUAUUCAACUACCUGGACUCUCUGAACUGGCAACAAAAGAGUAUCUGGGAAAAAUGAAAUCAGAAAUAAUUAUUCAGAUAAUAGCAAAGAUUGUGCUCAUGGUGCAAGACAUGAUUAAUAAAUCUAGAGAGGACACAGAUGAAAAAAUAGAGGAUCUGAGGAACAUGAUGGAAUCCCAACAUAGGAAACAGAUGGAAUCCAUAAAACAUCCAAACAGAUUUCCAGGAGAUUAAAAACUCCAUCAAAAGUCUGCACAGCAGAAUGAACCAAUGUGAGGAUAGAAUUUCAGAUAUAGAAGAAAAAGAUUGCAAUUAGUGACCAAGAAAAGAAAAAUUGCUUUAAAAUUGUAAAGGAACACGAGAAAUCAAUACAGCAGCUGCUAGAUGAUGCAAAGAAGAAUAACAUAAGGCUGAUUGGAGUCAAUGAAGAAAGAGGAGAGAGUGCAGAUGACAUAAAAAUCUCUUCACAGAAGUGAUGGCAGAAAACUUCCCAAGCAGGGGAAAAGAACUUGACAUACAGAUAAGUGAGGCAUAAAGGACUACAGCAAGCCUUGAUCAAAAAAAAAUUUACACAUAGGCAUACAAUAGUUAGGAUUCCAGAAAUCCAACAGAAGAACAAAAUUCUACAAGCAGUGAGAGAAAAGAAACAAAUCACAUAUAAAGGAAAGCCCAUCAGAAUCAUAGCAGACUUCUCAAUGCAAACCCUCAAGGCAAGAAGAGCUUGGAGAGAUGUAUUUCAAGCUCUAAAGGAAAACAGCCUCCAACCCAGAUUGAUGGACCCUGCAAAACUAUCUUUCAAAAUUGAUGGAGAAAUAAGAUACUUUCAUGAUAAAGAGCACCUCAGGAACUUCAUGAAUACCAAACUGGCACUCCAAAAAAUUUUAGACAAUACCCUAAGAAAAGACAAUAAGGAUCACACCCCCAGGAAACCCAGCAGGAUGAAUUCAUUGGGCAUGACAAAUUAAAUGCAAAGGGGAGAAUCCAACAGAAAGAAAAAGUCAUGACAAGGCUUUUAAAACUUUUAACUUCAUCUCCCUGAUGAGUGUAUAAUUGAAUCUUGUUAUUGUACUGAUUAGUAUUUUUCUGACUCUAGAGUUGCAUACCUUUCCUUGUGCUGUAGUAGCUAGAUGAUAAUCUUCUUAUGUCUACUUUUUAACUGGGAUGUCUAUUAAUGAGCUCCAAGAAUUCUUUAUAUAUUCUGGUCAUAAGUUAUAUGCAUUCUAAAUAUGGUCUGUUUAAGGACUACUUUUCAUUUUAAUGAUGUCAUUUAAAGUUCUAAAUUUUGAUGGAAUCUCAUUUAUCAAUUGUUUUCUUUUAUACAUCAUGUCUUUUGUAUCCUAGGUAGUUCUUGCCUACCCUAAAUUCAUAAACAUCUUCCUUUAUAAUUUCUUCUUAAAGUUUUAUAUUUUUGGGCUUUCUUAUUUAGGUUCAUAGAUCCCUUCAAGUUAUUUUCAUGUAUGGAAAUAAAGGGUUGAGGUUAAUUUUUUAUAUAUGGAUACCAGGUGUUCUAGUGCCAUUUGCUGCAAACACUAUCUCUUCCUUGGCUGUUGAAUUGAGUUUAUAUUCUAUAAAAUGCUAAUGUUAAAUAAUCUUUCAAAACUCAGUGGACCAUAUAUGUGUGGUUCUAUUUCUAGAUUCUCUGUUUUAUUUAAAUGAUCUAUAUGUCUUUCCUUACACCAACACUGCCUUGAUUACUGUAGCUUUAGAGGAAGUCUUAAAAUUAGGUACUAAAUGUCUUCUAACACUGUUUUUGUUUUUUUUUUAACUUUUCUAGGUCCUUUGUACUCCUAUAUAACUUUUAAAUUUCAAUAUCCAAUUCUUCAUUUAUAGCAAGUAUACACAGACCUGAAUUUUUAUAUAUAACUUGAGUUUUCUAAUCCUGAUAAAUUCAAGUACAAGUUCUAGGGGCUCCUAGAGAUUUCUUAGUAUUUUCUCUGUAGAUGACCAUUUCAACUACAUAUAAAGAUUUUGCUUUUGCCAUGCCAAUCCUAUCCUAGUUGUGUCAUUUUAUCACCAGACUAUUUUGGUGGGGCCUAGGUUUCAAAGUUUAAUGAACAGAUAAAGAGUAAGGAUAUCUGCCCUUGUUCCCCUUAAGGAGAAAGCAUUGUAUCUUCUCCAUUCAUAUAAGGCUUUCUCACUGGAAGUAUGGAGUACAUGUCUUUAAUCUGUUGAGAAGGUUCUGUUCUACUUCUAGUCUCCUAAUGGCUUUUACCAUGAACAGUUGUAGAAUUUAGUCUAAUACUUUUUCUCCAACUAGUGACAGGAUCAUAUGGCUUUUUCCUUUCCUCUGUUAAAAUGAUGACUUUUUGGGGGUGGAUCUUCCAAUGCUGAACCAACACUGCCAUCCCUAUAACAAAACCACUUUCUACAUACUGCCAGAUCUGACUUCCAAUAGUUUGUUUUGUUAAACAGAUUUCUAUCUAUGUUCAUACUUUUUCUUCUAUUAUCUUUGUCCAGCUUUAGGAUUAGCACAAUGUUGAGUUCCUAAAAUGAGGGGUGAAGUGUUCCUUCUUUUUACUCCUUUAAUUGUUUGAUAUAAUUUAUUAGUUAAAAAGUAUAUGAGCCUGCUCUUGUCAUAUAGGUAGGUUUUUGAGCUAGAAAUAUACUUUCUUUAAUAGGUACUAUUCAAAUUGUAUAUUUCCUCUAGAGUUAGUUUCAUUAAUUUGUCUUCCAAGGUACUUCUUAGAAGUUGUCCAAUUUAUUUCAAAAAAGAUUUUUGUAAUAUGCUUUCUAUAUCAUUUAAAUUCUGUGAAAUCUGUGGUAAUGUCUCCUAGAUCUUGAUAUUGUAAUUUUAAAAAUGUAUACCUGAUAUUGUGUAACAGGAAGAAAAGGUCUAAAGAAGCAGGGGAAGUAGGAGGGGUAGGGGAAAGGAAAGAAGGGAAAAGAAAAAAAUAUGAGAAAAGGAAAAAAAUGGAAACAAAGUCUUUGCAAAUAGGGAAGGGUGGAGGGGGUGAAGGGAGGGCAAGGGAAGGGGAACAAAAAAUAAGAACCAAGAUACUUAUGUAAAGGUACAAGAUCCCAAUGAUGAAUGUAGCUGUAUUUUAUACCUAAAAUGUACAAAUAUCCUUAAUGGGGGGGAAAAAAAGAAUAUUGGUGAUAUAGUAAUUUCUUAGAGUUCUACCUUGUCCUAGAGAUAGAAACCAAAUGCAUCACAAAUGAGAAGAGAACCUUCUCAGAUAAGCAGCCAGAAAAGAAUUGAAUCAGGAGUGGAGUGUAAUUCUUCUGCCCCAACAGAAUUGUUUUAUUUACAGUUCUUUAGGUUGGAAGUAACUAUCAUCACCAUGACUCUGAUUAUGGAGUCAGGAAAAAUUAAGAGAUAUGCAAAACCCAAUCAGUUUUCAUUUAACUAUCUCUAAGAGUUGUAGCCCUACCAGCCAGAGUUUCAUUACUAUAACUUUAUCUAGAUGUACCCUCAAGGCCUCAUGUGCUCAUAGGUGAGGCUUUUUGGACAUGGUUGGAUUUAGGGUGUGUGAAUAUGGAUUAGAGUGUGUAAUAUCGUCAUUAGUCUACUGAUUGGCUUAGCAUAGUUAUGGGUGUGGACAAUGGAAGGCCCACCUGGAUGUAAGUGGCAUCAUUCUUCUAGCCUGGAUGGGAUAAAAGAGAAAGAAAGGCUCAAUGGUAAUGUUUGCUGCCUCCUGCCUGCCCUGCUAUGGGCUGUCUCUCCCUGCCAUACCCCUCUGGCACGCUGCCCUUCCUUGGAGCCAGCCCACUAUGGAUAGAAACCUCUACAAACUGUGAACUAAAAUAAAUGUUUUUUUUCUUGUAACUUGUGGAUGUCAAUUAUUUUGCCCCAGCAAUGAGGAAGUAACUAAGACACUCAUCUUUUAAAUUAACCAAAGCUGAUCAAAUUAUGUUUACAAAAUAGAUUGUGCCAAUGAUCAAGAAAGCCCAUUUCUGAGUUUAUUACAAAAGCACUAAUAGUAGUGGAAGAUUGAUUUAGUCUAUCACUUUCUACAAUGAAAACAUUUAUACCAUCCCAAAAGAUAUGGGGUUCCUGUUUAGCAGAUGCAAAUACUUCCAAACUAGAGCUCAAAAAUUUAUUCAGUCUGAGAUAUUUGAAUCAUAUUCAGGUUUUCAUGCAGAAAAACUUACACGCAAGUAAAUCCAUGCAACAGUGAAGAAGCCAUGGCUAUGCAUUCUGUCUAACGUGAAGGGUUUCAAAGGUAGGGGCAGAAUUUGCUUCAAAAGGGCCUGAUGCAGGUCUAACAUGAGAAGUUAUGUAAAUAACAUAAAUGAAAGAAGGAUACAAUUCUAAUGAUUAUUUUCAGGAAAUAAAACUUUGAAUUCUAAUUUGUUUUUGCAUAUUAUUGCCGCAAUGCUGAGGAUAUUUGUUUUGGACUUUCUGUAUGUCAUGCUUUACAAUAAAAUAAGGUAAAAAUAGAUGAACUUUACAUUUCUGUUGAUUGAUUUUACAUCAUUAUUUCAUGGAAUCUCAUUCUCUGGCUUACACUUAACUUGUAUUUGUCUGUCAUGAUGCACAAUAAUGAUUUUA
Long non-coding RNA from Heterocephalus glaber (naked mole-rat), 5191 nucleotides. NCBI's taxonomy places the organism in Eukaryota, Metazoa, Chordata, Mammalia, Rodentia, Bathyergidae. The record is from Ensembl.